AUGGUAGUGAAAAUGAUGGCGACCGAUGCAGAGGAGAUAAGAAACCAAACAAGCCCCUGCCCUAUCCCCGACAACAGUCUCAGCACUCUGUCCAUCAAAAUCACGCGGAAAAACCAGGAUAGACACUGGAAGUUGCGGUCUAUUUACCUGCAGUGCUAUUUCUUGACCAUUGCAACAAUAUUGGGAACUGGAAUCUUAGGUCUUCCAGUGACGAUAGCCCAUGCUGGAUUGUUGCCUUUCCUCGUCUCGUUUCUCGUUGGCUUCUUUGUCCAGGCUUUGCUUAUCUACCUGUUUGUGGAACUUCUUCAGAAAUGUCAGGUGGUUCAGCUGGAAUCUCUGAAGACAGGUGUCGCCGAAUGUAUCUCGAUGGAUCAGGUGGGCGUGGAGGAUCCGGCACCCACAGAGGACGAGGAUGAGGACGAGGGUGAAAAUGCAGAGGCGGAUACCGGUUUACUACAGUCAGAUGGAGUAGCUUUGCACAACCAAGCUGAGUGCCUGCAGCCCAACCUUCAUCUGCUCGGCUACAUCUUCCUCUCCCGGCCCAUGAGCCACGCCUUUAACUGCAUCCUCCUCUUCCAGUUCCACAUCUACGUGAUCCCGGCCUUCACCUGGAUUCUAACUCUUGCAAUCUUACUGGCCCACACAAUCAUCCAACCAAUCACGUCUCUGCUUACCCUGCUGAAAGGACUUCUGCUCAUUGUCACGGUGGCUGUGACAUUUGCGGUGGGGUCUGAGGUUGGCCUUCAGAGCAGCAGUGACUUCAGUCAGAUGGGGAAACCUUUCCUAAUGGGAACAGUGGCUCUGGGGGGGAUAGUAAACGUGAUGCCUCUGCUCUUCUCGCAGAUCUCUCACAACAAAACACAGAUCCUGUGGUUUCGGAGAGCAGUGCUUGGAGGUCUGACAACCUGCACUGUGCUCAACAUCCUCUGGUGCUGGGCUGUGCUGGAAAUUGUCCCCCAGACGUCGUUACCAGAGAGGCGGACGGCAGGAGAGACUACAACCCAGCCCGACUCCAGCAGCCUGUCUGGUCCUCACUCCGCUGUCUCCCCUCUGCUGUACUCCAACAUCUCACUAGAGGAGAUGGAUGAUGAGCCUUGCAUGCUUUCAUUCAGGCCAGUCAGAAGGAUACGGGUGUCAGAUGUUCCGGCUCGGCAGGAGGCACAGUCUGAGACGUGUGCAGCACGUCAGCAAGUCAGCACCUUGCCCCAAGACCGCCACCUGCCAUCAAAGUACAGCAACAGGUCUGAGAAAGCGGGCGAGAUUGCAACCAUUCCACUGACUAAGAUUAUUAAUGAACGUUACAGGGCGUACUCCUGGGUGGCUGAGCUGAUCCAGGUCUUCAUAGCCAUCAGCGUCACUGUGUCCUUCCUGGUGAUGGGAUCGGCCAUGAAACACACCAUUGAUGGCCUGGUGAACUCGCUGUGGAGCAGCCAACUGGAGUGGUUGUCUAAAGCCUGGGAGAGAAACCUGCCGAACAAACAUCACAUCUGCUCAGCGAGAAGCAUGGCUAAAGGAUUCAUGUCGCUUCUUGGGUUUACUGUCAUCUUUAUCGUGUCAGUGUGUGAUCCCAGGGGUUUCAUUGUCAUGUUGGACAAAGUUGUGUCGUUCUCCCUCAACACUGAAGUUGGACUGUUUGUCUUCAUCAUGCUGAGAGAAUCCAGAGAAGACAGAUUCCAACACCUUGCUGUCCCUCUGCCAGUAGGUGACUGUGUCUUCAGCCUCAGCUGGAUGCUCCCCACCUACUUCCUGUUUGCAGUUACGUACGACGUCCUGCAGACUCUGGCGGACGUGGCUCAUUACCUGCAUUUCUACAGCAACAGUGAGGAAGCACACAGCCACAAUCUGACUGGGAGUUUAACGGCAGCCAAUCUGUCCGUCCUGCUCUGAUCCUCAAUCAGCCAGAAAACAGACGGACCAGUAGGAGUUGGAAUUGCCAAAAAUCAGAUGCUUAGCAAGUGCUUUUAUAUUGUAUUCACACUUAUCAAGCUCUUGAUACAUUUUGAAAAUGUCAAACAUAGGCAUUAUUUGUUUUUGAUGGAAUGUUUUUGCACUCUUUUUUUCUUUGUUCACUUGCGGUGGCCUCGCUGCGCAUGCAAACUGUAAAAUGUUUUAGUUUUUCCAGUAGUCUGGAAACCACCACACAGCAGGGGCCAGAUGUAUGAACGAGGCAUACGCACAAAAAAACAUCAAGUGUCUCCACCUCAUGCAUAGUUCAGACCGAGUGUACCUUUAAGGUGUAGAUCAGUGGUUCCCACUAGGGGUCACCAAAGCUUCACAGGGUUGUGAUGCCUUCUUGAAAACUUUAAACAAAAACAAAUAUACACAUUAGGCCUGUAUCUCAGUAUAUUGUUCAUUUCUGUGAAGUAUUUUAUAGUUUAGAUUAUUAUUCAAGAAUAAAAUCAACAUAUAUUCACAGAGCCUCCGAUAAACAGCCUCCUGCUGCAUCUGUAAAAUACACAGUAUGAACAUGUGUCAAAGGAAGAAGCCUAUUAGGGAG
Molecule: long non-coding RNA, 2497 nt
Filed under: Dicentrarchus labrax (European seabass)
Lineage: Eukaryota; Metazoa; Chordata; Actinopteri; Moronidae
Description: lncRNA (ENSDLAG00005034613.1)
Source: RNAcentral